AGCCUAGCCCUUGCCCUUGACAAUGCUGCGACACGCAGCAGCCCAGGAACGGGCCCCGGGGAGCCCCGCGCGCGCUGCGGCUGCCGUGCUCGCGAUGAGAAGACUGGCAGGCCAGGAUUCAAACUCGUGUCUUCUGAUCCCUGCAUCACACUGCCUUCCUUUUGAGGUAGGAGCAAAGGCAGAGGGGCUUGUGGCAGAGGAGGAAAUAAGAAGGGGAGCCCUCCCUGGCCCUGGGGUCACACCACACAAGGCCUUCUUCUGACUGAUUGGAGAUGUUUCAUGAUGAGACAGACACCUGGUCUUUUACCUGUGUGGUUUGUUAACCAUUCUUUCUGACUCAAGUAUCACCUCAUAUCAGCCACUCCUCAUCCACGUCAGGGGUUGUCGGUGUUUCCCUUGUAAGAUUACCUGGAAUUGGAAACCUUCCUGGCAAUGGGUCAUGAUACAGUACAAAAAUGUAAAAACUUGCUGCCCUCCAGAUUUCAUAACCUGAUAAAGUGAGUCAUUUCCAUAAAAGAAUUCUCUAAAGGGGCAGUUGAGUCUCUGCCAGAAAAGUUGAGGAAAGGGGAAGGGAGAACACAGAACUUACUGCUAAACCUGAACAUAUUUUUUCUGGCUUUGUUCCUUAAGAGCUAGGUGACCUUGGACAAAUCAUUUUACCUAUCUGAGACUCAGUUUCCACACCUGCAAAGAUAAUGAAAGGGUUGAGCUAGAGUAAUCAAUUAAUAAACAUUAAGUGCCUGUUAGGCA
Molecule: long non-coding RNA, 750 nt
Filed under: Phascolarctos cinereus (koala)
Lineage: Eukaryota; Metazoa; Chordata; Mammalia; Diprotodontia; Phascolarctidae
Description: lncRNA (ENSPCIG00000011276.2)
Source: RNAcentral